ACUGCCGGGGGCUGGCGGGGCCGGCCAGCUGCUCCGAGUCUGGGGCGCCAAGCCCGCGCCCACCCGGAACUCUAGCUGGCCCGCAAGCACAGUGCGCAGCCCGGGUUCCCGCCUGUGCCUCUCCCUCCACACCUCCCCACAGGCUGAGGGAGCCGGCUCGGGCCUCCGCCAUCCCAGGAAGGGGUUCCCACAGUGCAGCGGCGGGCUGAAGGGCUCCUCAAGCGCGGCCAGAGUGGGCGCUGAGGCCGAGGAGGCACUGAGAGCGAGCAAGGGCUGCGAGGGCUGCCGCACGCUGUCACCUCUCAAGUAGUUAAGAGAUAGUGCAUUCGAAGCAGUGCAGUGGGAAGGGAAGGUAGAGAGAAGUGCUGAAGAAACAUUUUAAUAUGGAGGAUCAGUGCUGAGUCAUCACAUGGAGGACCUUGAAUCCACAGUGUACUUUGGGUGAUAAAGACAAAAUCAUUUAAAAAAAAAUCGCCAAUAUUUGGCAUUGUUUGUUAUGAGAGAAUAAAUUUACUACUUCUGACU
Homo sapiens (human) is the source of this 525-nucleotide long non-coding RNA. NCBI's taxonomy places the organism in Eukaryota, Metazoa, Chordata, Mammalia, Primates, Hominidae. The record is from Ensembl.